GCAUAAUUAUUAUCUUGGAGAUCUUUAAUCUCUCAAUGCUUUGGUUACAUUGAUUAGGAAACGUGUUAAUGAUAGUGAAGUUACAGAGACUGUGGUGACAUUGCAUUCCACAUUUGGAGGUGCUGUGUAGUAGGCAGCAAAUUGGGUUGCACUGGACUGUUGUAUGUGAUUAGUUCAUUUUAGGAGUUCAGAACAGGUGGUUAACAAAGGAAUGAUGGACUGGAACUGUUACUUUGUUUACUUGUAGUUUUCUGUGUCUAUGCUAUUGUCCGACUGAGGAUUUCGUCUUUGAUUGGCAUCGUAGUUCAGCGAUGUUCAAAUUUCUUCAUAAUACUUUUUGUACAUCCCUCGUUUGAUGUUGUUUGCUAAAAUCCGUUUGUAGCCAUGGUGUCGGUCAAAUGGUGUUCAAAAUAUAAAUGUCGGAGCUGCUACCUCAUUUGCAGCGAUUAAUUUCCCAGUGCUUCUCAUUGAUGAUUUCAGUACACCGGAAAAGAACCAAUCAUUCUCUAACGAGAGACGAAGAAUCAGGAGUACAAAUGGAGAGAAGAAGCAUUUAGGAAAGGCUUCCCUUGCUUACUAACCACGUGAGCGAAACUAAUUUGUCUGAUAAUUUUAACUUAUUUAGUAAGCCUAUGCAUACAGCCGCACAGACUCGUGCUGCUGAAUCAUACUUGUUUGGUGUGAUCUCUCCCUUCAGAUGAAACAAGAUGAGCAAGAAGAACUUGAGCUAGAGGCAAAGGUCAACUGACGUGUUUUCUAUGUACCAUGAAGAUAGUAAAACUGAUGCAAUUUUAGUUGCAAUGGUUCUCGGUCAUGUACUAAAAUGGCCAUCUCAUGUUAUGUAACAUUUGAUAUGCAUGCAAGUGGAUCAGAAGGACCCAGAAAAUGGAUACCUUGCUGAAAUCCAUUUUCACCAUUAUAUUCAGAUGUGGGUGUGUAUUGCCAGAUAAAGUUAAUGUUGGCUUUAA
Triticum aestivum (bread wheat) is the source of this 968-nucleotide RNA transcript. RefSeq lists it as uncharacterized. The record is from RefSeq and is a predicted model, not a curated record. The transcript is spliced from 2 exons. Lineage: Eukaryota; Viridiplantae; Streptophyta; Magnoliopsida; Poales; Poaceae.